AAAAUAUUCAGCAUCCGAGAUCAUGGUGAAUGCUGUCGGAGGUUACCAGAGAGAUCAAGGGAACCAAAAUGUCCUAUAGAGAAUCAUUGUGUUAAUCCAUUUGUUUUGAAGCACAGAAGGUUUUAUUAUUACGAGUAUUUGUUUACCACCUAGAUGAGAAGUAACCACUUGGACCUGAUUUUAUUAUGGCUUUUAUUAUUAC
Long non-coding RNA from Ipomoea nil (Japanese morning glory), 202 nucleotides. RefSeq lists it as uncharacterized. Lineage: Eukaryota; Viridiplantae; Streptophyta; Magnoliopsida; Solanales; Convolvulaceae. The transcript has 3 exons. The record is from RefSeq and is a predicted model, not a curated record.